GGGCGGAUGGUUUAGUGGUAUAAUUUUCCCUUAGCAUCAUGCAAAUUACCUGGGAAAGGUCCGGGGUUCGAUUCCCCGUUCGUCCA
This is a non-coding RNA of Trichoderma citrinoviride, 86 nucleotides long. The record is from the annotation of a RefSeq genome assembly. Lineage: Eukaryota; Fungi; Ascomycota; Sordariomycetes; Hypocreales; Hypocreaceae.